RNAcentral lists this ribosomal RNA (458 nucleotides) under uncultured Thauera sp. RNAcentral describes it as "bacterial SSU rRNA". It matches the Rfam family "Bacterial small subunit ribosomal RNA", at positions 923 to 1382 of the family's 1533-position model. The record is from RNAcentral. Lineage: Bacteria; Pseudomonadati; Pseudomonadota; Betaproteobacteria; Rhodocyclales; Zoogloeaceae.
GCACAAGCGGUGGAUGAUGUGGAUUAAUUCGAUGCAACGCGAAAACCUUACCUACCCUUGACAUGUCUGGAACCUUGCUGAGAGGCGAGGGUGCCUUCGGGAGCCAGAACACAGGUGCUGCAUGGGCUGUCGUCAGCUCGUGUCGUGAGAUGUUGGGUUAAGUCCCGCAACGAGCGCAACCCUUGUCAUUAGUUGCCAUCAUUUAGUUGGGCACUCUAAUGAGACUGCCGGUGACAAACCAGAGGAAGGUGGGGAUGACGUCAAGUCCUCAUGGCCCUUAUGGGUAGGGCUUCACACGUCAUACAAUGGUCGGUACAGAGGGUUGCCAAGCCGCGAGGUGGAGCCAAUCCCUUAAAGCCGAUCGUAGUCCGGAUCGUAGUCUGCAACUCGACUACGUGAAGUCGGAAUCGCUAGUAAUCGCAGAUCAGCAUGCUGCGGUGAAUACGUUCCCGGGUCUU